GACGAACGCUGGCGGCGUGCUUAACACAUGCAAGUCGAACGAAAAGAGGGAAAGAGCUUGCUCUUUCCGGAAUUGAGUGGCAAACGGGUGAGUAACACGUAAACAACCUGCCUUCAGGAUGGGGACAACAGACGGAAACGACUGCUAAUACCGAAUAAGUUCCAAGGGCCGCAUGGCCCAUGGAAGAAAAGGUGGCCUCUACCUGUAAGCUAUCGCCUGAAGAGGGGUUUGCGUCUGAUUAGCUGGUUGGAGGGGUAACGGCCCACCAAGGCGACGAUCAGUAGCCGGUCUGAGAGGAUGAACGGCCACACUGGAACUGAGACACGGUCCAGACUCCUACGGGAGGCAGCAGUGGGGAAUCUUCCGCAAUGGGCGAAAGCCUGACGGAGCAACGCCGCGUGAGUGAUGACGGCCUUCGGGUUGUAAAACUCUGUGUUCCGGGACGAAAAGGCAGAGUGCGAAGAACAAACUGCAUUGACGGUACCGGAAAAGCAAGCCACGGCUAACUACGUG
RNAcentral lists this ribosomal RNA (513 nucleotides) under uncultured bacterium. RNAcentral's name for it is "partial 16S ribosomal RNA". It matches the Rfam family "Bacterial small subunit ribosomal RNA", at positions 28 to 507 of the family's 1533-position model. The record is from RNAcentral.